GACGAACGCUGGCGGCGUGCCUAAUACAUGCAAGUCGAGCGAGUCUGCCUUGAAGAUCGGAGUGCUUGCACUCUGUGAAACAAGAUACAGGCUAGCGGCGGACGGGUGAGUAACACGUGGGUAACCUGCCCAAGAGAUCGGGAUAACACCUGGAAACAGAUGCUAAUACCGGAUAACAACAGAUGAUGCCUAUCAACUGUUUAAAAGAUGGUUCUGCUAUCACUCUUGGAUGGACCUGCGGUGCAUUAGCUAGUUGGUAGGGUAACGGCCUACCAAGGCGAUGAUGCAUAGCCGAGUUGAGAGACUGAUCGGCCACAUUGGGACUGAGACACGGCCCAAACUCCUACGGGAGGCAGCAGUAGGGAAUCUUCCACAAUGGACGCAAGUCUGAUGGAGCAACGCCGCGUGAGUGAAGAAGGGUUUCGGCUCGUAAAGCUCUGUUGUUGGUGAAGAAGGACAGGGGUAGUAACUGACCUUUGUUUGACGUUAAUCAAUUAGAAAGUCACGGCUAACUACGUG
RNAcentral lists this ribosomal RNA (519 nucleotides) under uncultured bacterium. RNAcentral describes it as "partial 16S ribosomal RNA". It matches the Rfam family "Bacterial small subunit ribosomal RNA", at positions 28 to 507 of the family's 1533-position model. The record is from RNAcentral.